UACGGAGGGUGCAAGCGUUAAUCGGAAUUACUGGGCGUAAAGCGCACGCAGGCGGUUUUUUAAGUCUGUGGUUAAAUCCCGGGGCUCAACUCCGGAAUCGUCACGGAAACUAGAAGACUUGAGAUGUGCAGAGGCAGUUGGAAUUUCGGAAGUAGGGGUAAAAUCCGUAGAUCUCCGAAGGAACACCAAACGCGAAGGCAUUCUGCUGGGCACAUUCUGACGCUGAGGGACGAAAGCGUGGGGAGCAAACAGG
Molecule: ribosomal RNA, 253 nt
Filed under: uncultured bacterium
Lineage: Bacteria
Description: partial 16S ribosomal RNA
Rfam family: Bacterial small subunit ribosomal RNA
Source: RNAcentral